Myotis lucifugus (little brown bat) is the source of this 116-nucleotide ribosomal RNA. The record is from Ensembl. Lineage: Eukaryota; Metazoa; Chordata; Mammalia; Chiroptera; Vespertilionidae.
GUCUACGGCCAUAUCACCCAGAAUGCGCCAGAUCUCUUCUGAUCUCAGAAGUUAAGCAGGGUCGGGCCUGGUUAGUACUUGGAAGGGAGAAAGAAUCACUAAUCUAAAUGUAAUUA